GACGAACGCUGGCGGCGUGCUUAACACAUGCAAGUCGAACGGUGAAGCGCCUUCCUUUUUGGUGGGUGUGGAUGAGUGGCGAAUGGGUGAGUAACACGUGAGUAACCUGCCCCCUUCUUCUGGAUAACCGCAUGAAAGUGUGGCUAAUACGGGAUAUUCUGGGUCUGUCGCAUGAUGGGUCUGGGAAAGAUAUUGUUUCGGUGGGGGAUGGGCUCGCGGCCUAUCAGCUUGUUGGUGGGGUGAUGGCCUACCAAGGCGGUGACGGGUAGCCGGCCUGAGAGGGUGGACGGUCACACUGGGACGGGGACCCGGCCCAGACUCCUAAGGGAGGCAGCAGUGGGGAAUAUUGCACAAGGGGCGCAAGCCUGAUGCAGCGACGCCGCGUGAGGGAUGGAGGCCUUCGGGUUGUGAACCUCUUUCGCCAGUGAAGCAGGCCUGCCUAGUUUGUGGGUGGGUUGACGGUAGCUGGAGAAGAAGCGCCGGCUAACUACGUG
Molecule: ribosomal RNA, 494 nt
Filed under: uncultured bacterium
Lineage: Bacteria
Description: partial 16S ribosomal RNA
Rfam family: Bacterial small subunit ribosomal RNA
Source: RNAcentral